CUUAACGGUCUCCACCGAGGAGUUGGCAAAUAUGUAACCGGAAAUACUAGUUACUCCGGCGAGUGAAGCUUCGCGCGUCUUACGGAUAUCAUCGUAAUACUCGUAUGAAUCUCGUAUCCAUUCUCUGAAAAAGGAUGCAAUGUUGGUCCAGAGUACGAAGAGCUAAUUCUGAAUAUCCCAGCAGCGACAUGACUCACGAUAGAACGAGCUGAAACGAACAAAAAGAAA
Molecule: long non-coding RNA, 228 nt
Organism: Hylaeus volcanicus
Lineage: Eukaryota; Metazoa; Arthropoda; Insecta; Hymenoptera; Colletidae
Exons: 3
Source: RefSeq, a predicted model, not a curated record